CACCCGUACUCGAAAAAUACCAGUCAGUUGUUCUACUUUAUUAUAAUAGCCAAACAAGUGCGCUGUGAAACAUUGCGCCUACCAAGCUUGCGUCUACGUCACAAGCGUUAAAUACUUCGAUGGAUCUGCUAUGGCUCUUUUGUAUCAAUUCAUCUCCUUGCGCUAUUUUGUGGCCUUCGGUGAAAACAACGAAAAUGUGUUGCUUUUAUGUCCGCUGAUUGCCUAAAUGAGAUGACGAUCAUUUCUUUCAUCAGCAUGGCCCUAUGAAUUGCUGAUCUCCUCUGCUUUCCUUGUCUGCUAUUGUCAGUUAUGCGUAUCGUUAAAAUUACAUGGGUUUCAAGUUUGCUUCUGACUACCCGGCAAUUGUUGCCAUGAAGAGGCAGUACAUAUAGUAACAUCAUCCUUUUAAGGCGAAUUUACUUGAUCAAGUUGAAUCCCUGUAAGAGAGACUCGGUGAGGCAACAGAGUCCGACGCUAAGGAUCAUUUCGAACUGCUUAGCGCAGUUUUAAAGCUGGGAUCUCAUCUUUUGGCCGGGGGGAGGGAUAUCGAGGCUCAACAUUGCAUGAAUAAACUGUGAAUCUUUG
Molecule: small RNA, 585 nt
Filed under: Cryptococcus neoformans H99
Lineage: Eukaryota; Fungi; Basidiomycota; Tremellomycetes; Tremellales; Cryptococcaceae
Description: Cryptococcus neoformans var. grubii H99 hypothetical RNA
Source: RNAcentral